This is a long non-coding RNA of Acinonyx jubatus (cheetah), 2730 nucleotides long. RefSeq lists it as uncharacterized. The transcript is spliced from 3 exons. The record is from RefSeq and is a predicted model, not a curated record. NCBI's taxonomy places the organism in Eukaryota, Metazoa, Chordata, Mammalia, Carnivora, Felidae.
UUAAUCUAGUCUCCUUUAUAUGUUUAUCAGUUGCAAUUGUUCUAUAAAGAAUAACAUUCCCUUGUCAACUAUUUAGUUACUCUGAGGUGUAGUUCAUACAGUAAAAGCAUGGUAAGUGUUUUUGUGCACCAGUAUUUGCCUUUGUGCACCAGUAUACAGGAUAAUGAAAUGAUUCCCUGGCAUCCUCCAAAGUUGACCAAAGCAUUUUGUUGUUUUUAUUGUUUUGAAUGUCAUUGUAGAUUCACAAACAACAUAUCUGAUGUCUUUCAGUUCAUUGUAGUUACUAUUCUUUUUGAUGUUCAAAUUUUCCCAUAUGUUAAUGGUUGUUUCCUACAGUAGUGUUCUAUAGGUUUGUCUGUUUGGUUUUGUUUGUUUGUUUUCAUUUCAAAUACAAGAUGUUACAGGCUCUUCUUUUACAUUUUCUGCUUCAAAUAUGAAAGCAGACAUUUCCUCAAGUAUCCUUAUUCCUUUUAGAGACAAAUAGUAUUUAGAGACCACGAUCUUGAUGCUAGGGGUACUUAUUCCCAGUGACUUAGUUUUUGUUUUUUUUUUUUUAAGUAUACAGAGCUAGAAAAUAAUCAUUUUUAUUUUGGGGGAAAAUAUACCUUAGGUUCACACUGGUGCUAUAAAUUCAAAUUUAGGACUACAGAGUUAUACUUCUUGGGAGCUUAUGUUUGUAUCUCUUUUGUCCUGGAGUGAGAAUCUUGGUUGAUUUGUUUUUUAAUUAAUUAAAAGAGUGAGAGAGAGAGUGUGUGGGCACAUGCACACAUGCACAUGAGUGGGGGAGGGGCACAGAGAGAGGGGGAAAGAGAAUCCCAAGCAUGUUCCACACUGUCAGUGCAGAGCCCAACACAGGACUGGAUCCUGAGAACCACGAGAUCAUGACGAGAGCUGAAAUUAUGAGUUGGACACUUAACCAACUAAGCCACCCAGGCAGCCCAGAAUCUUGGUUUUUAAUGUCAUCGAUAAAAGAAGCUGCUAUUCUCCCACCACCCAUGAUUUCAUGAGCCUGUCAGUCAAGGAACUUGGCCUUCCCUUCUGCAAGAGUGGGAACGAAUCCCAGGCUAUGAGGGAGUUAACCCCCGUGGGUGAACUUGGGCCAAUGCAAGGCCGGCCCGCUCCGCCGUUCCCGCCGGACUCGAGGAGACUUGGCAGGUGAGGACCUGGACCGGACGUCCGAACCAGUAAGGCUGGGGCCCAAUCUAGCCAGGCCCGCUCGCAAGAGUGGAAGGGGGACCUGAUCACUCCCGGAGACAUCAGAAGUCUCACAGGUAGGGAUUCUGUAGUAGGGAAUAUAAUAACCUCUGGUGUGUAUGUGAAUGUGAAUGUGCGACUGGGUCUAGCUUGCCUGCCGAGUUCUAUUCUGUGGCUCCACAGGCAGGCACGAUUGGGGUGCCCAGGGGGCUACGGAGUGUGAGUGGGCCCGUCUGCAAUUCCAUGAUGGAUGGCACUCGGUCUGUGUCGAUAUCAGAACGUUUCUGAUCAUGGGUCGCAGGGCUGUGACCUGUGGGGCUGAGCGUCGCCUGGGUUCCUGCAGGACACUGCCAGGUGGGCAUCUGGCUAGUCUCCUCAUUGGAGGGGGCGCCCCUGUCCCUCUGUCUUUGUGACUCCGCCUCACGGGAGCAUUGUGGGGUCGGGACGGAGCCAGGAGAGCCAGGCAAAGGUUUUAACCGCUUUAUCCGGAGACUCACCCAGGGAGCCAAAGAAGCCACCCACCGCUCCCCUAAUGUUCCCCUCUUGAUGACUCUUUAGGCUCCCUCCCCUCUCCCCUGAGCUUGAAACUCCUCCCCUGGCGGACUGGUCUGGCUGCUGCCACCGCCUCCAGGACGCUGCCUCCGCCGCCCAUUUCUCCUCCCCUUCCAGGCCAGAAAACCCUCCCCCACAAGGCCCCGUGGGCAGAUUGCGCCCUCACCACAGCCAGGGACUGGCCUCUCCAAAUGCUGGUCCACAUCCACUGAUAUCAGAGCUGGGGGCUGAGAAGGCCAUAAAUAUGCCCAGUUGCAAGGGGGAAAGGACAUUAAAAAGAACAAAUGUUCCAACCAGGGAAAGUCCCAAAAACCCAGCGGAGAUCAGGAGGAACCUGGAGAAGGGGACCCUAUUGGUCUAGCUGAGAUAGACCCAGACUAAAAGGGGACACUCUCUCUCUCCCUGUUUCUCUGCUUAAUAGAUGUGAGGGAUUCUCCCUCAUUUCCCAGGUUAACAGCUAUUAAUGGAGCCAACUGUGGUUAGUCUACCUCCGGACAGGGACUUUAAGGAAUAUUCCCAAGCAGUUGCUGCUUCUGCCUUCCCCUCCCCCUCACGUUUCUGCACCAAUUUGGGUGUGGUCCUAUACCAUCCUCAGUGUCUCAGGCACCAUUGGUUCCUCCUCCCACCCUCCAAGUCAAGGAGAAAAGUGCACCUCCCCCCCCACCUUGGACCGCCCAUUUCAGAUAUCUCCACUGGUGCCCCAAAUGAAAAUUGACAAUGGGGAAAAAUUGAUUGGCUUUUAGGUGGAUGCAGAUGAAACAUAUUCGAUGUUUAAACUAAUUUAAGUUGGGGCACCUGGGUGGCUCAGUCAGUUGAGCCUCCAACUUCAGCUCAGGUCAUGAUCUUGCGGCCUGUGGGUUCGAGCCCUGCAUCGGGCUCUGUGCUGACAGCUCAGAGCCUGGAGCCUGCUUAGGAUUCUGUGUCUCCCUCUCUCUGCCCCUCCCCUACUCAUGCUCUGUCUCUCCCUCUGUCAAAAAUAAAUAA